Molecule: ribosomal RNA, 479 nt
Filed under: Mycobacterium sp. FI-10193
Lineage: Bacteria; Bacillati; Actinomycetota; Actinomycetes; Mycobacteriales; Mycobacteriaceae
Description: bacterial SSU rRNA
Rfam family: Bacterial small subunit ribosomal RNA
Source: RNAcentral
GACGAACGCUGGCGGCGUGCUUAACACAUGCAAGUCGAACGGAAAGGCCCCUUCGGGGGUACUCGAGUGGCGAACGGGUGAGUAACACGUGGGUGAUCUGCCCUGCACUUUGGGAUAAGCCUGGGAAACUGGGUCUAAUACCGAAUAGGACCACGCGCUUCAUGGUGUGUGGUGGAAAGCUUUUGCGGUGUGGGAUGGGCCCGCGGCCUAUCAGCUUGUUGGUGGGGUAAUGGCCUACCAAGGCGACGACGGGUAGCCGGCCUGAGAGGGUGUCCGGCCACACUGGGACUGAGAUACGGCCCAGACUCCUACGGGAGGCAGCAGUGGGGAAUAUUGCACAAUGGGCGCAAGCCUGAUGCAGCGACGCCGCGUGGGGGAUGACGGCCUUCGGGUUGUAAACCUCUUUCAGUAUCGGCGAAGCUCCAGGAUUCUUCUUGGGGUGACGGUAGGUACAGAAGAAGCACCGGCCAACUACGUGC